CUUGGCCCUUUUGAUGUAGAGUGUGCGGAAGAGUGCGGACGGCGUCAAGGCACAUGUUCCUUGGCACUACUGGUAACUCUCUUACAUCAUCCUCGCACCUGCUAGCAGCCACAUGGGAAAAUGCACUAAAGCAUUUCCGGCGUGCCCUCCUGGAGUGCGGUUCUCCAUUAGACAUUGAGCACUCACAAAGAAUUGGACUGCUUUUUUCCCAGCACGUAGGGAACACAAAUGAACUCAAACGAUGGGCAUCCAUUUUUGAUGCUGAAGCUGUGCCAUCAACAGCGCUUAUUCUCAAGGCACUCGUGAAUCACGGCCAGUGGCAGACGGCCGUUAAACUCCUCGAGCUCAACAAAGAAAGCGGAGUUGCAUGCGAAUUGAGUGAAGUUUUGGGUCAAUGCCUUGUAGCCAGAGGGCUUUGGCAGCAGACACUGAAACUAGCAGACUUUCUUCAGUGUCGACAUGACGUUGCACCGAGCGAAAAAGGCCUUGCUCUAAGUAAUACCUCGUUGCUAAGUACAAGGGAGCGCAACGAUACCCACCAAAUGGCAUCAAAUCCAGCUUUUCUACCGGAAGAGGAAAGGACAACGUACUGUGGAUUUAUUUCUGCUGUCGCUCGUGCAUAUCCUUUAAAGCGGGACUGGAAAGAAGCGGUGAGAAUCCUACACGAUCUAGAGCAGCUCGUCGAUGGCGAGACGAAACGGAAGCUCUACGCAUACAGAAUUGCUCGACUUGUACACGACGGACAAGCGUACAAGAACGUAAUCGAAAAGAGCCGGUGCGAACUGGGAUUUCGCACAUCACCGUCACUGGUCCGCUCACUUCUUCACUGCGCCAUAGCAACAAGCGACUGCAGUCUUACCAUGAACUGUCUGAAGCUGCUGUGCUCGUUCGGCCCCACUGCAGUAUCUGUAAGGCUUUUCGAAACAGCUUGCCGCCUGCUUGUGUCGUCUGAUGAAACUUUGACAAAGGACGAUCUUGUUCGGUUUGAAUCUGUUGUCUGUGAGAACGCCGCUUUGGUGAAGGACAGGAAAUUGCAGAAGUUGAUAUCUGCCUUCUGCGCUGACUACGAUUUGAAAAUACCCAUUUUCCUGUCAUCUAUUUCGAUGUUGGCUUCAUCGUCGAAAACUGUGAUGGCACCAUCACUCGUGAACAGCAUAACCAAUCUCGACCGACUCGCGAGCAAACUCAUUUCUCAGAGCCGAUGGGUGGAGGCGUUGCAUGUGGCUACCCUAAUCAGAAAUGGCGCUGCAAAGAGCGAUAAUGAGCGCAUCAUCAUCGGCAUGCUGCGUGGAAGUUGCUCAUCGUGGGUGAAAACGUUGCAGUUUUUUACAUCAUAAGCAAGCACCCCGCAACGUGUUGGAAACCACCCUUAUACACAGCGAGCAACUGAAUGCUUUAGCGGAGCACAAUUCACCAGCUGCCGUAUUUCUUUUAAAUACCAAGAACUGUACUAG
Molecule: unclassified non-coding RNA, 1454 nt
Filed under: Leishmania donovani
Lineage: Eukaryota; Euglenozoa; Kinetoplastea; Trypanosomatida; Trypanosomatidae
Description: gene:LdHU3.33.0940(CDS-product:hypothetical_prote in_conserved)
Source: RNAcentral